Molecule: ribosomal RNA, 463 nt
Filed under: uncultured bacterium
Lineage: Bacteria
Description: bacterial SSU rRNA
Rfam family: Bacterial small subunit ribosomal RNA
Source: RNAcentral
CUCCUACGGGAGGCAGCAGUGGGGAAUAUUGCACAAUGGGCGCAAGCCUGAUGCAGCCAUGCCGCGUGUAUGAAGAAGGCCUUCGGGUUGUAAAGUACUUUCAGCAGUGAGGAAGGUGGGUAUGUUAAUAGCAUAUUCAUUUGACGUUAGCUGCAGAAGAAGCACCGGCUAACUCCGUGCCAGCAGCCGCGGUAAUACGGAGGGUGCGAGCGUUAAUCGGAAUUACUGGGCGUAAAGCGCAUGCAGGUGGUUUGUUAAGUCAGAUGUGAAAGCCCGGGGCUCAACCUCGGAAUUGCAUUUGAAACUGGCAAACUAGAGUACUGUAGAGGGGGUAGAAUUUCAGGUGUAGCGGUGAAAUGCGUAGAGAUCUGAAGGAAUACCGGUGGCGAAGGCGGCCCCCUGGACAGAUACUGACACUCAGAUGCGAAAGCGUGGGGAGCAAACAGGAUUAGAUACCCUGGUG